RNAcentral lists this ribosomal RNA (228 nucleotides) under uncultured bacterium. RNAcentral's name for it is "partial 16S ribosomal RNA". It matches the Rfam family "Bacterial small subunit ribosomal RNA", at positions 118 to 346 of the family's 1533-position model. The record is from RNAcentral.
UGAGCAACCUGCCCUUGACUCUGGAAUAACAGCUGGAAACAGCUGCUAAUACCGGAUACGACCUCCGAUGGCAUCAUCUGGAAGUGGAAAGCUCCGACGGUCAAGGAUGGGCUCGCGGCCUAUCAGCUUGUUGGUGAGGUAACGGCUCACCAAGGCUUCGACGGGUAGCCGGCCUGAGAGGCGACCGGCCACACUGGGACUGAGAUACCGGCCCAGACCUCUACGGGA